AAGGAGGGAGUAAGGGAUGGAAGGAAGGAGGGGGAGUAAAGGGAGGGGAGGAGGUUUUGUAAGUCUGAUGUGAAAGCCCCGGGCUCAACCUGGGAAGUGCAUUUGAAACUGCAGGACUUGAAUACUGGAGAGGGUAGUGGAAUGCCUAGUGUAGGAGUGAAAUCCGUAGAUAUUAGGAGGAACACCGGUGGCGAAGGCAGCUACCUGGACCGAUAUUGACGCUGAGACGCGAAAGCGUGGGUAGCAAACAG
Molecule: ribosomal RNA, 251 nt
Filed under: uncultured prokaryote
Description: partial 16S rRNA
Rfam family: Bacterial small subunit ribosomal RNA (bases 32-251)
Source: RNAcentral